This 337-nucleotide ribosomal RNA is filed under the name Salmonella enterica subsp. diarizonae. Its description in RNAcentral is "bacterial SSU rRNA". It matches the Rfam family "Bacterial small subunit ribosomal RNA", at positions 92 to 432 of the family's 1533-position model. The record is from RNAcentral. Lineage: Bacteria; Pseudomonadati; Pseudomonadota; Gammaproteobacteria; Enterobacterales; Enterobacteriaceae.
CGAGUGGCGGACGGGUGAGUAAUGUCUGGGAAACUGCCUGAUGGAGGGGGAUAACUACUGGAAACGGUGGCUAAUACCGCAUAACGUCGCAAGACCAAAGAGGGGGACCUUCGGGCCUCUUGCCAUCAGAUGUGCCCAGAUGGGAUUAGCUUGUUGGUGAGGUAACGGCUCACCAAGGCGACGAUCCCUAGCUGGUCUGAGAGGAUGACCAGCCACACUGGAACUGAGACACGGUCCAGACUCCUACGGGAGGCAGCAGUGGGGAAUAUUGCACAAUGGGCGCAAGCCUGAUGCAGCCAUGCCGCGUGUAUGAAGAAGGCCUUCGGGUUGUAAAGUA